GUGAGGUGGAGCAAAACUCAAAAACUUAGUCUCAGUUCGGAUUGUAGGCUGAAACUCACCUACAUGAAGCUGGAGUUGCUAGUAAUCGCGAAUCAGCAUGUCGCGGUGAAUACGUUCCCGGGCCUUGUACACACCGCCCGUCACACCAUGAGAGUUGGCAAUACCCAACGUACGUGAUCUAACCCGCAAGGGAGGAAGCGUCCUAAGGUAGGGUCAGCGAUUGGGGUGAAGUCGUAACAAGGUACC
This 246-nucleotide ribosomal RNA is filed under the name uncultured bacterium. RNAcentral's name for it is "partial 16S ribosomal RNA". It matches the Rfam family "Bacterial small subunit ribosomal RNA", at positions 1257 to 1500 of the family's 1533-position model. The record is from RNAcentral.